Molecule: ribosomal RNA, 225 nt
Filed under: uncultured bacterium
Lineage: Bacteria
Description: partial 16S ribosomal RNA
Rfam family: Bacterial small subunit ribosomal RNA
Source: RNAcentral
CGGAACACGUACAGAACCUUCCUUUAAGCGGGGAUAGCCCAUAGAAAUGUGGAUUAAUACCCCAUAGUAAUGUUUAAUGGCAUCAUUAGAUAUUUAAAGAUUUAUCACUUAAAGAUGGCUGUGCGGCUGAUUAGGUAGUUGGUGUGGGUAACGGCCCACCAAGCCAUCGAUCAGUAACUGGUGUGAGAGCACGACCAGUCACACGGGCACUGAGACACGGGCCCG